CCUACGGGAGGCAGCAGUGAGGAAUAUUGGUCAAUGGGCGCGAGCCUGAACCAGCCAAGUAGCGUGAAGGAUGACUGCCCUACGGGUUGUAAACUUCUUUUGUAAAGGAAUAAAGUGAGGCACGUGUGCCUUUUUGUAUGUUCUUUAUGAAUAAGGAACGGCUAACUCCGUGCCAGGAGCCGCGGUAAUAAGGGGGAUCCGAGCGUUAGCCGGAUUUAUUGGGGUUAAAGGGAGCGUAGAUGGGUUGUUAAGUCAGUUGUGAAAGGUUGCGGCUCAACCGUAAAAUUGCAGUUGAUACUGGCAGUCUUGAGUACAGGUGAGGUAGGCGGAAUUCGUGGUGUAGCGGUGAAAUGCUUAGAUAUCACGAAGAACUCCGAUUGCGAAGGCAGCUUACUAAACUGCCACUGACAUUGAUGCUCGAAAGUGUGGGUAUCAAACAGGAUUAGAUACCCUAGUAGUC
This 460-nucleotide ribosomal RNA is filed under the name uncultured bacterium. RNAcentral's name for it is "partial 16S ribosomal RNA". It matches the Rfam family "Bacterial small subunit ribosomal RNA", at positions 338 to 795 of the family's 1533-position model. The record is from RNAcentral.